This 29-nucleotide non-coding RNA is filed under the name Rattus norvegicus (Norway rat). Lineage: Eukaryota; Metazoa; Chordata; Mammalia; Rodentia; Muridae. The record is from RNAcentral.
GGCAGAGGCAGGUGGAUCCCUGAGUUUGA